CCCUUAGAUGUUCUGGGCUGCACGCGCGCUACACUGAUGCGCUCAACGAGUUUAUGACCUUGCCUGGAAAGGUUGGGUAAUCUUCUUAAAACGCAUCGUGAUGGGGAUAGAUUAUUGCAAUUAUUAAUCUUCAACGAGGAAUUCCUAGUAAGCGCGAGUCAUCAGCUCGUGCUGAUUACGUCCCUGCCCUUUGUACACACCGCCCGUCGCACCUACCGAUUGAAUGGUCCGGUGAAAUCUCGGGACGGCGGCUUGGUCGCUUGCGUCCGACUGCUGAAACUUGAUUAAACCAUAUCAUUUAGAGGAAGGUGAAGUCGUAACA
RNAcentral lists this ribosomal RNA (322 nucleotides) under uncultured eukaryote. Its description in RNAcentral is "partial 18S ribosomal RNA". It matches the Rfam family "Eukaryotic small subunit ribosomal RNA", at positions 1470 to 1796 of the family's 1831-position model. The record is from RNAcentral.